RNAcentral lists this ribosomal RNA (383 nucleotides) under Meloidogyne haplanaria. Its description in RNAcentral is "partial 16S ribosomal RNA". The record is from RNAcentral. Lineage: Eukaryota; Metazoa; Nematoda; Chromadorea; Rhabditida; Meloidogynidae.
UUUUAUUUUAAGAUUAUUUUUUAUUGUUGAAAAAAUUAAAAAUAAAUUGUUAAAAACAAAAAUUAAAAUUUAUAAUAUUUCUGUUUUUUAUUUUUAGUUAAAAAUAAAAAUAAUAAAUAUGAAAAAUAGAAAAAUUUUGUUAUAAAUUAAAUUGGUUUUUUAAAAUUAAAAAUAUUUUUUAUAAAUUUAUUUUUUUUUAUUUUUUUAGAAAAAAAAAAAUUUAAUUAUUAUUAUUGAAAUUAAUUUAAUUAUUUAGUAAAAAAUUUUAUAUUAAAUAAAUUAAAUAAUAAAUGUUUUUUAAAUUCUUUGGGGAUUUAUUUUUUGAUUUUUUAUUUCUGCUCAUUGUUAAAGAAAAGCACUUUUAGCGUGAUUGGUCAAAGGUA